CCUACGGGAGGCAGCAGUGAGGAAUAUUGGUCAAUGGACGAGAGUCUGAACCAGCCAAGUAGCGUGAAGGAUGACUGCCCUAUGGGUUGUAAACUUCUUUUAUAAAGGAAUAAAACGAGGCACGUGUGCCUUGUUGCAUGUACUUUAUGAAUAAGCAUCGGCUAACUCCGUGCCAGCAGCCGCGGUAAUACGGAGGAUCCGAGCGUUAUCCGGAUUUAUUGGGUUUAAAGGGCGCGUAGAUGGGUUGUUAAGUCAGUUGUGAAAGUUUGCGGCUCAACCGUAAAAUUGCAAUUGAUACUGGCAGUCUUGAGUACAGUUGAGGUAGGCGGAAUUCGUGGUGUAGCGGUGAAAUGCUUAGAUAUCACGAAGAACCCCGAUUGCGAAGGCAGCUUACUAACCUGUGACUGACAUUGAUGCUCGAAAGUGUGGGUAUCAAACAGGAUUAGAUACCCCAGUAGUC
This 460-nucleotide ribosomal RNA is filed under the name uncultured bacterium. Its description in RNAcentral is "partial 16S ribosomal RNA". It matches the Rfam family "Bacterial small subunit ribosomal RNA", at positions 338 to 795 of the family's 1533-position model. The record is from RNAcentral.